Long non-coding RNA from Bradysia coprophila, 130 nucleotides. The record is from RefSeq and is a predicted model, not a curated record. NCBI's taxonomy places the organism in Eukaryota, Metazoa, Arthropoda, Insecta, Diptera, Sciaridae.
UCCGGACAUUUAAACGCUAUACUCGUAAAUGAUACAUUGAAUGAAAGAUAUUUACAAUACCGAUCGACAAAAAAAAAGUUUAUGGAAAUCGGAUGACCGACUUAUGAGUUAGAGCCCUUGAUGUGAACCA